GGCGGGGUAGCUCAGGGGUAGAGCAGGGGUCUCAUAAGCCCUUGGUCGGCGGUUCAAUCCCGCCCCCCGCCA
This 72-nucleotide transfer RNA is filed under the name Kofleriaceae bacterium. RNAcentral describes it as "tRNA-Met". It matches the Rfam family "tRNA". From Rfam's summary of the family: Transfer RNA (tRNA) molecules are approximately 80 nucleotides in length. Their secondary structure includes four short double-helical elements and three loops (D, anti-codon, and T loops). Further hydrogen bonds mediate the characteristic L-shaped molecular structure. tRNAs have two regions of fundamental functional importance: the anti-codon, which is responsible for specific mRNA codon recognition, and the 3' end, to which the tRNAs corresponding amino acid is attached (by aminoacyl-tRNA synthetases). tRNAs cope with the degeneracy of the genetic code in two manners: having more than one tRNA (with a specific anti-codon) for a particular amino acid; and 'wobble' base-pairing, i.e. permitting non-standard base-pairing at the 3rd anti-codon position. The record is from RNAcentral. Lineage: Bacteria; Pseudomonadati; Myxococcota; Haliangiales; Kofleriaceae.